CACCGGGAGCGACAGCAGGAUGAAAGCCAGAUUAAAGGUCUUGCCAGACGAGCUGAGAGGAGGUGCAUGGCCGUCGCCAGUUCGUGCCGUGAGGUGUCCUGUUAAGUCAGGCAACGAUCGAGACCCGCGUCCUCCGUUGCUACCAACCUUGAGUUGGGCACACUGGGGAGACUGCCGCCGAUAAGGCGGAGGAAGGAGCGGGCCACGGCAGGUCAGUAUGCCCCGAAUCUCCCGGGCUACACGCGAGCUGCAAUGGCAGGUACAAUGGGAUCCGACCUCGAAAGGGGAAGGCAAUCUCUAAAACCUGCCGUAGUUGGGAUCGAGGGUUGAAACCCACCUUCGUGAACAUGGAAUCCCUAGUAAUCGCGCGUCACUAUCGCGCGGUGAAUACGUCCCUGCUCCUUGCACACACCGCCCGUCGUUCCACCCGAGCGACUUUUGGGUGAGGCGUAGUCUUCUUUGGCUGCGUCGAAUCCAAGUUUCGUGAGGGGGGAAAAGUCGUAACAAGGUGGCCGUAGGGGAACCUGCGGCCGGAUCACCUCCU
RNAcentral lists this ribosomal RNA (544 nucleotides) under Candidatus Bathyarchaeota archaeon. RNAcentral's name for it is "bacterial SSU rRNA". It matches the Rfam family "Archaeal small subunit ribosomal RNA", at positions 928 to 1478 of the family's 1478-position model. The record is from RNAcentral. Lineage: Archaea; Thermoproteati; Candidatus Bathyarchaeota.